Molecule: ribosomal RNA, 513 nt
Filed under: uncultured bacterium
Lineage: Bacteria
Description: partial 16S ribosomal RNA
Rfam family: Bacterial small subunit ribosomal RNA
Source: RNAcentral
AACGAACGCUGGCGGCGUGCCUAACACAUGCAAGUCGAGCGCGAAAAGGGCAACCUGAGUAGAGCGGCGCACGGGUGCGUAACACGUGGGUAAUCUGCCUUAGAGUCGAGGAUAACCUUCCGAAAGGUUAGCUAAUACUCGGUAAGCUUACGGUGUCUUCGGACGCUGUGGGAAACGUAGGCCUCUGUUUACAAGCUUACGCUCUGAGAUGAGCCCGCGGCCCAUCAGCUAGUUGGCGGUGUAACGGACCACCAAGGCAACGACGGGUAGCUGGUCGGAGAGGAGGAGCAGCCACACUGGACCUGAGACACGGUCCAGACACCUACGGGAGGCAGCAGUGGGAGAUUUUCCACAAUGGGCGAAAGCCUGAUGGAGAAAGGCCGCGUGUGUGAUGAAGGUUUUCGGAUCGUAAAGCACUUUCGACUGGGACGAAAAACCUUUGGCUAACAUCCAGGGGCCUGACGGUACCAGGAGAAGAAGCACCGGCUAACUCUGUGCCAGCAGCCGCGGUAA